UUACUCACUUCCGAGGUACAUAUAUUAAAAUUGAAAAGGUAAAGAGAAGUUUAGCUUGUUCCCCAUGCAAGGAUGGCUUGCAAAAUCGUGAAGUGUCCCAAAUGUUC
This 107-nucleotide small nuclear RNA is filed under the name Trichobilharzia regenti. The record is from RNAcentral. Lineage: Eukaryota; Metazoa; Platyhelminthes; Trematoda; Strigeidida; Schistosomatidae.